Long non-coding RNA from Monodelphis domestica (gray short-tailed opossum), 3735 nucleotides. RefSeq lists it as uncharacterized. NCBI's taxonomy places the organism in Eukaryota, Metazoa, Chordata, Mammalia, Didelphimorphia, Didelphidae. The record is from RefSeq and is a predicted model, not a curated record.
UUUUUGGUAGUUGUAGAUAGUAGAUCUUGGGUGUCAGUGACCAUUUCUGUGCUAAUUCUUUCUUUCCUUCUCACUCAAAAGUCUGAGUGAGGAGGGCAGGCUCUCUGUGUAUCGAGCUACAUAGUAAUUUUUUCCUGAGGCUAUUUUUCAGUUUCUGCUGCUUCUGCUGUGUGUAGCCCCUCUCUGCCCUAUCUCCAUGCCCAAUCUUCACAUUCCUCAGCCUCCUGGAAUCCCAAGUCUUGCUGCUCUCUGGAGUGAGUCUGUGGUGCCCUCAGCAAUUCCCCAAGAACCUAGUGAUUGCCCUGCACUUGCUCUGACUCUGGCGUCAUAGGUGGACUGGGGGAGGGGUGAUUAGCUUGCACUUUGGUAGGAUAAUUUUACCCCCUUAUAGCAUGGAAAUGCCCAAACCCUGCUUACUUUCAAGGCUGCACCCUAUGUAUGGAUGAGCCCCUUUACUCAUUUGAUUUUGGUUUUUGUUCUUUUGAGGUGCUCUAUAUUGGUAAGUGGUGAGGAAAAGUCCUUUGCUUCUACUCUGUGGCCAUUUUAGCCUGGAAGUCUCAUCAUUUCUCAUACCACAAUAGUACUAUAUAUUGUGAAUAGUAAAUCAUAUACCACACUUUGCUCAGCCAUUCCCCAAUUAAUAGGCAUUGUUUCUAUUUCCACUUCUUUUCCACAAUAAAAAGAACUAUUAAUAUUAUUGUACAUAUAUGUCUUUUUCUUUUUUAGGUUUUUCAUCUCCUAUAAUAAACUGCUUAUUCUUCUUUCAUGCGUUUCCCCUAGAGUUCUCAUUUCUUUUUUCAUUUUCUUCAUCAGGCUUCAUUUAAUUUUAAAUAUAAUUGUUUUCAAUAUAUUUUUCCAAUCCAUAUUUACAUUUGGAGUUACUAAAUAUAGAAUUAUAUUUUUGUAGCAGGUGAUGGUGGUAGUGGUGGUGGUGUGUGAUCCAGAGAAGUUGCACAUCAACAUGAACCUCCUGACAUAUGUACUCACACAAUCUAUUUGAUAUAAUUAUGAAUGGGCACCUUUCUUAGCCUGAAUUCUCUCCCAUAGUACCAAAAUGCAUUUCAUGUCUCUAAAGGAAGAACAUGUACAAGGAUAUGCUAGUAAGUGUUUCACAACUGGGAAAAUGUAUAAAUGAUACUUCAUAAAAUUCUGUAUUAUGACAGUUAAGGCAUCUCAAAAUUUAGUCUCUAGCCUGAUGUAUUCCUCUAAACUUAGCUUGGGUGAUCCUCAGACAAUAGACAUUGAGACUUCCACUGGACCCAUAUUUGAAAAUUGCCUUCCAUUGCAGCUGUUCUAGAGAACCCAUAGUUACUUCUACCACAGUAAAAAGAGCUUUUGUAGAGAAAUAUGAAAACUGUGCAAGGUCAAGUCUAGGGUUGACCCCACACAAGUUUGGGUGAAAACUAAAAGUUUGUUUUGGGCAUUUUCCUUCUGCUUUAUAGCACUCGCCCCUUCUCCAACUUUGUCCCACAGUAUCUAAUAUUCUGAUAAUUUCUUAUUAUACUUUAGAUUCCUUAAAACCUAAUCCUAAGCCAAAAACAUUCCUCAUCACUCAGUAUUUCAAACGAUAAACAUCUUUCUUCAAUCUUCUCCACAACCCAAAUCAUCUAAUAGGGCCAGUAUAAUGGUCAAAAAUUGACCAAUAAAGAUUUCCUACUCUAAUUUGGUUACAAAGCAUACAAUUAUACCAACUCUAUUUUCUAUGAUGAUAAAGCCAAAAAAAAAAUGCUCCAAAUCAUAAGGAAUUACACUCCAUAUUUGUAGCUGAGGCAGAGCCGUAAUGGUUAAAGCCCUCCUCUUCUCCCUGCUUGGGCUGCAUAGUCAAGGUCGUGGGUUGAACUGUGUAUGACCUGCCCAGCUGCGUGUUCAAGGUUAGAAUAGUCAGCAGAGGGAGGUUUGAUAAUGACUGUGAGAAACUGUGAGAAACUUCUUUUUCUGCCCUUUUUUGGAAUCUUCUCGGUUCCUCCUUGUGCCUGGCAGGUAAUGUCAUGAAUUCCUGUGAAUCUGCCCAAUUAUUGGUUCCUGCUGUUGCUGGGCGGUAACUCAUAUCUUUCUGUGGUUUUAACCUAUAUAUGCUUUGUGUGAAUCCAAUAAACUUUGUUGUUAUGCAUUUCAUAUAGCGUCCAUUCGUUACUCUUCAUUUUCAUUACCCAAGUAAGGGCACACAGGGUUGGCCACCCUGGAGCUGAGCCUUACAAAAUUGGCAUCCGGGAAAAGGGACAUAUGCCAUCGUAACCCCAAUUCCUUUGCUGGUCAGAAGAUGAUGAAGUAACGGGUUUUGCCACAAUUCUGCAGAUUGGGUCAAGGACAAUGAUGGAUCCCUCGUAGAAGGAACAAACCUAUCCUGCAGUCUGGAGAAGAUGAAACCUCAACGUCAACCAAGGGGCAGGAAAAGGCCCCGUGUGCUACAGAAAAAAGAGAGACAAUUGAUCCUGUUCCUGGCGACUCUGAUGAACACUCUCAACAUGGCUAAUACAGAGACACAGACUCAUUGGGUUUUAUGGGAAAAACCCCCAUGGAUUAACUUUGUAGAAUUUGAGGAGGACUUUCCUGAGGUAUCUCUUCAUGUACAACAAUUUGGUCCAAGAUGGAAAUGGACUGCUAAGAAUGGAGAGACUGGGGAAAGAUUUCAUAUUAUGGAUGGUAUCACUCAUCUGCAGAUAGAGCAAUGGAAAGAUCUCAACUAAUUAGCUCUAGGGAAAAGAGAUGUAUUUCUUGCAUAGUUUUAGGUCUUGAUAGCCGCCCUUACUGCUACAACUGUCAGUAGUGUUUCUCUAGCACAAAAUGUAGCUAAUGUACGUGUCCUGGAACAUGAUGCAGAAUAUUUACACGGGCUUGCACAGAAUGUAACCAAGGCUUUGCUUAUACAGCAAGAUAUUAAUACAAGGGUUUUUUUAUGCUUUACAACAAAUAUCUAAAGAUGUAUUGUUACUAACUAAUCAAGUAGAAAUUUUAGCUAUUAAGGGUAAAUUACGGUGUGAUUAUCAUUAUUCAGCUUUUUGUCUUCUUCCUGUUAAAGUUAACACGUCUGAUGCAUUUGAAAAAAUUAGAAAUGAUCUACAAGGCUAAAAGGCAAUAUCUCUGAAAACAUCCAACAAUUGAACCAUAUUAUUGAAGAAAUGGAUAGUUCCUUAGCUGAGGAUCUUUAUCCUGAACAUAUUGCUGAUUCUAUAUACAAUUGGAUUAAAUCAGGCCAAAGUUGGCUGUCUCCUUUAGCUCAAAUGAGUAUAACCAUAUUGACUUUCAUACUGUUUAUAGUUAUCUUACUGGUCCUUCUUCUCUAUCUAUUCCAGCUCCUUGUGUCCAGCUUGGGUAGGAUUGGACAAGUUCUUACCCAACACUGGGUACUGUUGCAAAACAAAAAGGGGGAAUUGUAGUCGAGGCAGAGCCAUAAUGGUUAAAGCCCUCCUCUUCUCCCUGCUUGGGCUGCAUAGUCAAGGUUGUGGGUUGAACUUUGUAUGACCUGCCCAGCUGUGUGUUCAAGGUUAGAAUAGUCAGCAGAGGGAGGUUUGAUAAUGACUGUGAGAAACAGUGAGAAACUUCUUUUUCUGCCCUUUUUUGGAAUCCUCUUGGUUCCUCCUUGUGCCUGGCAGGUAAUGUCAUGAAUUCCUGUGAAUCUGCCCAAUUAUUGGUUCCUGCUGUUGCUGGGCGGUAACUCAUAUCUUCCUGUGGUUUUAACCUAUAUAUGCUUUGUGUGAAUCCAAUAAACUUUGUCGUUAUGCAUUUCAUAUAGCA